UCGCAUGCCCGAAAGGGUGACGAAGCGACGCCGCGUGGGUGAGGAAGGCCUUCGGGUUGUAAAGCCCUGUCAGGAGUUAAGAAAUGUAGACGCGCUAAUAUCGGGUCUAUUUGACAAAGGCUCCAAAGGAAGCCACGGCUAACUCUGUGCCAGCAGCCGCGGUAAUACAGAGGUGGCAAGCGUUGUUCGGAAUUAUUGGACGUAAAGAGCACGUAGGUGGAUUUGUAAGUCAGACGUGAAAGCCUUCUGUUCAACGGAAGAAUUGCAUCUGAAACUACAAACCUUGAGUGUAGGAGGGGAGAAUGGAACUUCUGGUGGAGCGGUGAAAUGCGUAGAUAUCAGAAGGAACGCCGGCGGCGAAAGCGAUUCUCUGGCCUAUUACUGACACUCAGUGUGCGAAAGCUAGGGGAGCAAACGGGAUUAGAUACCCCGGUAGUCCUAGCCGUAAACGAUGGGCACUAAGUAGAGGGGU
Molecule: ribosomal RNA, 472 nt
Filed under: uncultured bacterium
Lineage: Bacteria
Description: bacterial SSU rRNA
Rfam family: Bacterial small subunit ribosomal RNA
Source: RNAcentral